Molecule: ribosomal RNA, 479 nt
Filed under: Salmonella enterica subsp. enterica serovar Berta
Lineage: Bacteria; Pseudomonadati; Pseudomonadota; Gammaproteobacteria; Enterobacterales; Enterobacteriaceae
Description: bacterial SSU rRNA
Rfam family: Bacterial small subunit ribosomal RNA
Source: RNAcentral
UGCAUGGGUAUGGUGUGGAAAGUUUUUCGGUCUGGGAUGGACUCGCGGCCUAUCAGCUUGUUGGUGAGGUAAUGGCUCACCAAGGCGACGACGGGUAGCCGGCCUGAGAGGGCGACCGGCCACACUGGGACUGAGACACGGCCCAGACUCCUACGGGAGGCAGCAGUGGGGAAUAUUGCACAAUGGGCGAAAGCCUGAUGCAGCGACGCCGCGUGAGGGAUGACGGCCUUCGGGUUGUAAACCUCUUUCAGCAGGGAAGAAGCGCAAGUGACGGUACCUGCAGAAGAAGCACCGGCUAACUACGUGCCAGCAGCCGCGGUAAUACGUAGGGUGCGAGCGUUGUCCGGAAUUAUUGGGCGUAAAGAGCUUGUAGGCGGUUUGUCGCGUCUGCCGUGAAAAUUCGAGGCUCAACCUCGAACUUGCGGUGGGUACGGGCAGACUAGAGUGUGGUAGGGGAGACUGGAAUUCCUGGUGUAGCG